UGAGUAACCUGCCCUGGACUUUGGGAUAACCCUCGGAAACGGGGCUAAUACCGGAUAUGACGGCUCACCGCAUGGUGUGGUUGUGGAAAGUUUUUCGGUCUGGGAUGGGCUCGCGGCCUAUCAGCUUGUUGGUGGGGUGAUGGCCUACCAAGGCGACGACGGGUAGCCGGCCUGAGAGGGCGACCGGCCACACUGGGACUGAGACACGGCCCAGACUCCUACGGGAGCA
RNAcentral lists this ribosomal RNA (229 nucleotides) under uncultured bacterium. Its description in RNAcentral is "partial 16S ribosomal RNA". It matches the Rfam family "Bacterial small subunit ribosomal RNA", at positions 118 to 347 of the family's 1533-position model. The record is from RNAcentral.